GGGGAAUUUUCCGCAAUGGGCGAAAGCCUGACGGAGCAACGCCGCGUGAGGGAUGAAGGCCUCUGGGCUGUAAACCUCUUUUCUCAAGGAAGAAGAUCUGACGGUACUUGAGGAAUAAGCCACGGCUAAUUCCGUGCCAGCAGCCGCGGUAAUACGGGAGUGGCAAGCGUUAUCCGGAAUUAUUGGGCGUAAAGCGUCCGCAGGCGGUCUUGUAAGUCUGUCGUUAAAGCGUGGAGCUUAACUCCAUUUCAGCGAUGGAAACUGCAAGACUAGAGUGUGGUAGGGGCAGAGGGAAUUCCCGGUGUAGCGGUGAAAUGCGUAGAUAUCGGGAAGAACACCAGUGGCGAAGGCGCUCUGCUGGGCCAUAACUGACGCUCAUGGACGAAAGCCAGGGGAGCGAAAGGGAUUAGAUACCCCAGUAGUC
Molecule: ribosomal RNA, 424 nt
Filed under: uncultured cyanobacterium
Lineage: Bacteria; Bacillati; Cyanobacteriota
Description: bacterial SSU rRNA
Rfam family: Bacterial small subunit ribosomal RNA
Source: RNAcentral